RNAcentral lists this ribosomal RNA (705 nucleotides) under Acinetobacter haemolyticus. RNAcentral describes it as "bacterial SSU rRNA". It matches the Rfam family "Bacterial small subunit ribosomal RNA", at positions 54 to 754 of the family's 1533-position model. The record is from RNAcentral. Lineage: Bacteria; Pseudomonadati; Pseudomonadota; Gammaproteobacteria; Moraxellales; Moraxellaceae.
CAUGCAGUCGAGCGGGGAAGUGUAGCUUGCUACAUUACCUAGCGGCGGACGGGUGAGUAAUGCUUAGGAAUCUGCCUAUUAGUGGGGGACAACAUUCCGAAAGGAAUGCUAAUACCGCAUACGUCCUACGGGAGAAAGCAGGGGAUCUUCGGACCUUGCGCUAAUAGAUGAGCCUAAGUCGGAUUAGCUAGUUGGUGGGGUAAAGGCCUACCAAGGCGACGAUCUGUAGCGGGUCUGAGAGGAUGAUCCGCCACACUGGGACUGAGACACGGCCCAGACUCCUACGGGAGGCAGCAGUGGGGAAUAUUGGACAAUGGGCGGAACCCUGAUCCAGCCAUGCCGCGUGUGUGAAGAAGGCCUUUUGGUUGUAAAGCACUUUAAGCGAGGAGGAGGCUACUCUAGUUAAUACCUAGAGAUAGUGGACGUUACUCGCAGAAUAAGCACCGGCUAACUCUGUGCCAGCAGCCGCGGUAAUACAGAGGGUGCGAGCGUUAAUCGGAUUUACUGGGCGUAAAGCGUGCGUAGGCGGCUGAUUAAGUCGGAUGUGAAAUCCCUGAGCUUAACUUAGGAAUUGCAUUCGAUACUGGUCAGCUAGAGUAUGGGAGAGGAUGGUAGAAUUCCAGGUGUAGCGGUGAAAUGCGUAGAGAUCUGGAGGAAUACCGAUGGCGAAGGCAGCCAUCUGGCCUAAUACUGACGCUGAGGUAC